GCAACGCGAAGAACCUUACCAGGUCUUGACAUCCCGAUGCUAUUCUAGAGAUAGAAAGUUACUUCGGUACAUCGGUGACAGGUGGUGCAUGGUUGUCGUCAGCUCGUGUCGUGAGAUGUUGGGUUAAGUCCCGCAACGAGCGCAACCCCUAUUGUUAGUUGCCAUCAUUCAGUUGGGCACUCUAGCGAGACUGCCGGUAAUAAACCGGAGGAAGUGGGAUGACGUCAAAUCAUCAUGCCCCUUAUGACCUGGGCUACACACGUGCUACAAUGGUUGGUACAACGAGUUGCGAGUCGGUGACGGCGAGCUAAUCUCUUAAAGCCAAUCUCAGUUCGGAUUGUAGGCUGCAACUCGCCUACAUGAAGUCGGAAUCGCUAGUAAUCGCGGAUCAGCACGCCGCGGUGAAUACGUUCCCGGGCCUU
RNAcentral lists this ribosomal RNA (422 nucleotides) under uncultured Streptococcus sp. Its description in RNAcentral is "bacterial SSU rRNA". It matches the Rfam family "Bacterial small subunit ribosomal RNA", at positions 956 to 1382 of the family's 1533-position model. The record is from RNAcentral. Lineage: Bacteria; Bacillati; Bacillota; Bacilli; Lactobacillales; Streptococcaceae.